GAGUUGCGAACGGGUGAGUAACGCGUAGGUAACCUGCCUACUAGCGGGGGAUAACUAUUGGAAACGAUAGCUAAUACCGCAUAACAGUGUUUAACACAUGUUAGAUGCUUGAAAGAUGCAAUUGCAUCACUAGUAGAUGGACCUGCGUUGUAUUAGCUAGUUGGUGGGGUAACGGCCCGCCAAGGCGACGAUACAUAGCCGACCUGAGAGGGUGAUCGGCCACACUGGGACUGAGACACGGCCCAAACUCCUACGGGAGGCAGCAGUAGGGAAUCUUCCACAAUGGACGCAAGUCUGAUGGAGCAACGCCGCGUGAGUGAAGAAGGGUUUCGGCUCGUAAAGCUCUGUUGGUAGUGAAGAAAGAUAGAGGUAGUAACUGGCCUUUAUUUGACGGUAAUUACCUAGAAAGUCACGGCUAACUACGUGCCAGCAGCCGCGGUAAUACGUAGGUGGCAAGCGUUGUCCGGAUUUAUUGGGCGUAAAGCGAGUGCAGGCGGUUCAAUAAGUCUGAUGUGAAAGCCUUCGGCUCAACCGGAGAAUUGCAUCAGAAACUGUUGAACUUGAGUGCAGAAGAGGAGUGUGGAACUCCAUGUGUAGCGGUGGAAUGCGUAGAUAUAUGGAAGAACACCAGUGGCGAAGGCGGCUCUCUGGUCUGCAACUGACGCUGAGGCUCGAAAGCAUGGGUAGCGAACAGGAUUAGAUACCCUGGUAGUCCAUGCCGUAAACGAUGAGUGCUAGGUGUUGGAGGGUUUCCGCCCUUCAGUGCCGAAGCUAACGCAUUAAGCACUCCGCCUGGGGAGUACGACCGCAAGGUUGAAACUCAAAGGAAUUGACGGGGGCCCGCACAAGCGGUGGAGCAUGUGGUUUAAUUCGAAGCUACGCGAAGAACCUUACCAGGUCUUGACAUCUUGCGCCAACCUCAGAGAUGAGGCGUUCCCUUCGGGGACGCAAAGACAGGUGGUGCAUGGUCGUCGUCAGCUCGUGUCGUGAGAUGUUGGGUUAAGUCCCGCAACGAGCGCAACCCUUGUUACUAGUUGCCAGCAUUCAGUUGGGCACUCUAGUGAGACUGCCGGUGACAAACCGGAGGAAGGUGGGGAUGACGUCAAAUCAUCAUGCCCCUUAUGACCUGGGCUACACACGUGCUACAAUGGAUGGUACAACGAGUCGCCAACCCGCGAGGGUGCGCUAAUCUCUUAAAACCAUUCUCAGUUCGGAUUGCAGGCUGCAACUCGCCUGCAUGAAGUCGGAAUCGCUAGUAAUCGCGGAUCAGCACGCCGCGGUGAAUACGUUCCCGGGCCUUGUACACACCGCCCGUCA
RNAcentral lists this ribosomal RNA (1317 nucleotides) under uncultured bacterium. RNAcentral describes it as "bacterial SSU rRNA". It matches the Rfam family "Bacterial small subunit ribosomal RNA", at positions 93 to 1399 of the family's 1533-position model. The record is from RNAcentral.